Molecule: ribosomal RNA, 505 nt
Filed under: bacterium ID4-18
Lineage: Bacteria
Description: bacterial SSU rRNA
Rfam family: Bacterial small subunit ribosomal RNA
Source: RNAcentral
ANUUUAACGCUGGCCGGCAGGCCUAACNNAUGCAAGUCGANCGGUAGAAAGUAGCUUGCUACUUUUGAGAGCGGCGGACGGGUGAGUAACGCGUGGGAAUCUACCUGGUAGUGGGGGACAACUUGGGGAAACUCAAGCUAAUACCGCAUACGCCCUACGGGGGAAAGGAGGGGCUCUUAGGACCUUUCGCUAUCAGAUGAGCCUGCGUAGGAUUAGCUAGUUGGUAGGGUAAAGGCCUACCAAGGCGACGAUCCUUAGCUGGUCUGAGAGGAUGAUCAGCCACACUGGGACUGAGACACGGCCCAGACUCCUACGGGAGGCAGCAGUGGGGAAUAUUGGACAAUGGGGGCAACCCUGAUCCAGCCAUGCCGCGUGUGUGAAGAAGGCCUUCGGGUUGUAAAGCACUUUCAGUGGUGAGGAAGGGUGANCAGUUAAUACCUGCUUACAUUGACGUUAGCCACAGAAGAAGCACCGGCUAACUCCGUGCCAGCAGCCGCGGGUAAUA